Long non-coding RNA from Aethina tumida (small hive beetle), 1310 nucleotides. RefSeq lists it as uncharacterized. NCBI's taxonomy places the organism in Eukaryota, Metazoa, Arthropoda, Insecta, Coleoptera, Nitidulidae. The transcript is spliced from 5 exons. The record is from RefSeq and is a predicted model, not a curated record.
CGUGGAUAGUACGGUAACUGCAUAUUUCCAUUAAUCAAAAUUACAAAACUGCUUUCGCCCAUAAAUAGUAAAAUUUCAAUCCCGGGUUGAAGUAGUUGCGUGAUACUAAAAACCCGUUUAUGUGUUCGAUGCCGCUACACAUACAUAUAUUGCAUUUGCCAUAAUGGCGUUAAAUUCGCACUCUCGCCUUUUGCUAAAUCACUCCAUUACAUUUAAUCUAAUAAGAAUUAAUUUCCACCAGUUAACAAUCCUGUUAAUCCUCCUGGACUGUAAUUGGAUAAUAAACAACCUCUGGUAACUUUUUGUUCAACGUCAAAUUGAUGUAAAUUUAAAAAAAAAAAUUAACCGAAGACGUAUUUUGCCAUUAUUAACAACAAACAAGAUAAAAUUCGAGUGACUAAUAUGCAAGUUUUGCCAAUAUUUAUCUCCUUUCAUAUUCAUUAUAUCAUAAAGUGAUUAAACGUUUAUAAAUAUUUUUGCGAGUGUUUGUUUUCAAAAUAGUCGUAUUGUUCAUUCAAAAUGUUUUAUAUUGUAAUUUAUCUGUCUAUUCUUUUUAUACUACCAAAAGUUUAUCCGGAAACAUUAGAGAAAACAGAAAUCAGAAAUUGUUACAAUUUGAUCGACUGUCCAAAAUACACUGUAACUUGUGAACAAAAAACAAGUAUAUCUGAAGACAGAAUAUAUUUUAAGAUAACUACCAACUGCUUGGGAAAACAAUUGGAAGUUUUAGCAACAAACACAACGUACGUUUACAACUUAUACAAACCGAAUACGUAUUAUAAGGGAUACUCAAAAUCUGUGGUUUAUAAAGUGAAAAUCUAAUUUAUUUAUACUGACUUAUUUAUUUGUAACCUUGUAUUAAAUUUAUGAAUCAAUAAAUUUGUGUUUUAUUAUAAUAUUAAACCGAGAUAAACUUCAAUCAAUGUCGAAAUUUCACAAGUUGUUUAUAUAAGAGUGUUUCUGGUUAUUAAAUUUGAUAAGACGGAAUCGAUUAAUUUACAAAUAAAUAAGUUAAAUACCAAGAACUAACAAAAUGUGGUUAAACGUAUGUAAAAUUAUUAAACUCUCAUUGUUAAUAAAUUUAUGUUUGUGCGUUGCAUCGAACGACGUCGUGUUUUACUGUCACAACAGGCCUUGUCCCGAAUACACGGUGUCUUGUUCAAAAAGUGCCAAAAUUUACAACAGGACCAACCUAGAAAUGAUCAUAAAUUGUCUGGACAGUUCAAAUACAAUUUUACAAACCCACAAGGAAGUAAAAAGUAUACGAUUACACGAAAAUCAAUAGUAGCGAAUGAAUAAAUUUUAAGUCC